This 530-nucleotide ribosomal RNA is filed under the name uncultured bacterium. Its description in RNAcentral is "bacterial SSU rRNA". It matches the Rfam family "Bacterial small subunit ribosomal RNA", at positions 359 to 923 of the family's 1533-position model. The record is from RNAcentral.
GUACCUGCGGGUACCUGACCAGCGACGCCGCGUGAGCGAAGAAGGCCUUCGGAUUGUAAACCUCUUACCAUGGGACGAUAAUGACGGUACCAUACGAAAGCCCCUCCGGAUUACUUGCCACCAGCCGCGGUAAUACUUAGGGGGCGAGCGUUGUCCGGAAUUACUGGGCGUAAAGAGCACUGCGGCGGCUAUUUUACUCAUGUGGGAAAAACCUGGGCUUAUUAACUGGUAUGCUUCUGAAACUAUUGUGCUGGUUUCAUGGAGAGGAGACCGAAAUUCCUGGUGGAGCGGUGAAAUGCUGAGAAAUCAUGAAGAAUAACACUGGCGAAAACGGCUCUCUGGAGUUGUACUGACGAUGAUGAGGCAAAACAGGGGGAGCAAACAAGAUUAUAUACCCUGGUGGUCCACCCCGCCAACAAUGAAUACUACGUGUGGUGGAGGAAUCGACCCUCCCCGAGUUAAAGUAAAAACAAUCCCUCCUGGGGAGUACAACUACAAGGUUGAAACUCAAACGAAUUGACGGUGACGGA